AGCCUUCUAAAUCUGUGCUGAGAUUUGAUUGGACACCAGACCAUCAGCACUGAUGAGACUUCCAAGAUGAGCAAAGUG
Molecule: non-coding RNA, 78 nt
Organism: Schistosoma mansoni
Lineage: Eukaryota; Metazoa; Platyhelminthes; Trematoda; Strigeidida; Schistosomatidae
Source: Rfam